This is a long non-coding RNA of Sceloporus undulatus (fence lizard), 1052 nucleotides long. RefSeq lists it as uncharacterized. NCBI's taxonomy places the organism in Eukaryota, Metazoa, Chordata, Lepidosauria, Squamata, Phrynosomatidae. The transcript is spliced from 3 exons. The record is from RefSeq and is a predicted model, not a curated record.
UCCCAUCCAAUAUUAUCACAGUCAUACAGCAUUAAGUGGCAUCAUUCAUCUUGAAAGAAUGAAGUGGCCUUAAUCUAAACAUCUACUUGAAAUGAUCCCUUCUUAAAAUUAACAGUUAUGAGAUACCAAUUAAAGCUCUCUUAUGGAUUGAACACUAAAUAAAGACCAGGAGCAGAGAAGAGGGAUAGAAGCACUGGAAUGUAUUCAGGAUCUGUACUGGAACCAGUGUUAUAAUGAACACAUGAGAACUGUGCCUGGAUGUUCCUGUGAAGUUUUGAUACAGAGUCUAGUCAUGCUUACCAGGGUGAACCUGCUGAUCAACACACCUUUAGGUCCAUUUAGGGAUUGUUUGUAGGGCCAAGUACCCAAUCUAGGGAAGAUCUUGAGAAAGAAAUAGGUGAGGCAACAGAAAAGAUACCAAGGAUUUGGAACUGUGGGAUCAGCCUGGACAGAGGAUACAUCACAAGUAUUGUGUUUCAUUGGUCAUCAUGAAUGGAUGCUGCAUUGUAUUUCCAUGUUGUUCUGACUUCCCUAUAUUCUAGACAAUGAAACAGAAAUGUUUUGUGUAUAUUUUUAAUUAAACAGUAUUCUACCUUGAAUGUUAAGGAACUAUGAAUGAAUCCUUUUUAAUGGCAGGAAAAAGGCCCUGGCAAGUUUCUCAGACAUGUUUUUUUUUAGAAGAGAUCCUUUGUUUUUCUCCUAAUAGCACUGAAUAUAAUGGCCAGCUUGUACUUCAGUACAUUCAACUCUAAAGAGAAUGGUUCUGAAAUUUUCCCGAACUUUGAUAUUUUGACCUCACAGCCUGGAGUCUGGAGUUCUGUCAAAUUUCCUUCCAGCUGUACAUUUCUUAAACUGCACCAAGACAGCCAGCAGAUAAUAACUGCAGUGGGGGCUUGUUCAUGUACUGUCUAUCCUCACGGGUGUUAUUGAGAACACACAACACUGUGUACAAAAUAUAACUUUCAUAUUGUUGCCAGAAGAUCUCAGAACAAAAUUGUCAUAUGUUUUUUGUGUGCGAAAGCCUUCGUUCACCUCAGCUGUUCUGAAUGACA